UGGGCACAGGGAGUGGGACGGGGGGAGCCCUGGCAGCAGGAGCGGCCCUGUCCGUCCCUCGGGCGCGGCCGGUGUUCCAGCGGCCGGUGGUGAUGACGCCCGGAACGGCCCCAGCGCGAGGAGCCCCGCGGCUCCAGCCGCUGCCGGGCGUGCCGAGCCGCCCGCGCCCGGGUAAUCCGCCGGGCCCAGAACGCGGCGCUCGCCGCGCGUUCGUGUCACGGGCUCCGCGCGGCGUUCGCCGCUGACAUCGCUGAGGGAGCGGCUGCGGCAGGAAGCGUGUGCGCGACCAGGCACCGGGAAGCUGACUCCCAAGUAUCUGUGGAGAACCAGCUAUAUGCAGCUGCUCAAGUCCUUGCACUCAGAGAAGCCACAUUGCCAGAGCCAGAGGAGGUUCCAGCUUGCAGCCGUGUCCAGCAGAGCCUCUGGUGGCUGCCAGGAGCUCAGGUGGAUUCACAGGAGAGGCUAAAGCAAGGCCAGAUGGUGCAGGGCAGAGCUGUCAAGGUUUGCUGCUGCUGCCGAGGUGACACCCAGAGGCAGAGCUGGUCCCAGGGAAGGUGUUUUGCAGGGCAGCCUGGGUCAGACAGUUUCAGUGCUGGGAAUUUGCACUGGCUUCUCUCAGACCUGCAAAACGUUCUGGAUGGUUCUCACAUGGGUUUGUCUCUCCCUGACCCUGAAUCCAGACUGGGGAGUUGGCCAGGGCACACCUGCAGCGAUGACACCCAUCACUGGUGUCCCUGGGCCACCCAGAAUAGCCACGUGCCUGCUGCCAAAGUCACAGCAAGGUUGUAUGAGCUGGUAUCUGUAUUUCAGUGUACCUGGCAAAUGUACAAAACUCUAAAAGCCUGCAAUCUGAUCUGCACAUGGUGGAGAAGUCAAUACUCCUCCCUCCAGCGAGACCUUGGUGAGAUAGGAUAUUGUGGCUGAGUGCUGGAGCACUCCAGAGUGCAACUGUGGCAAAAUCCAAAGCUGGGGGAAGGCUGGGGGAUACAGUGGCACUAAGGCUGCAGUUUGUCUGUGCAGGGAUUGCACCACAAGGCCUUGACAAUAAUGUCAGAUGCUACAGAAAAUUUUCUGUUAAUCAGGGCAAGCAAAGCACGAAAUAAACACUGUGUUCUGACCUUU
Taeniopygia guttata (zebra finch) is the source of this 1122-nucleotide long non-coding RNA. RefSeq lists it as uncharacterized. The record is from RefSeq and is a predicted model, not a curated record. NCBI's taxonomy places the organism in Eukaryota, Metazoa, Chordata, Aves, Passeriformes, Estrildidae.